This 481-nucleotide ribosomal RNA is filed under the name uncultured bacterium. RNAcentral describes it as "partial 16S ribosomal RNA". It matches the Rfam family "Bacterial small subunit ribosomal RNA", at positions 28 to 507 of the family's 1533-position model. The record is from RNAcentral.
GACGAACGUUGGCGGCGUGCUUAAUACAUGCAAGUCCACUGAAGCAGUGGUAGCAAUAUCGCUGUGGAGGUGGCGCACGGGUGAGUAACACGUAGGUAAUCUGCCUUCAGGUCUGGCAUAACUCCGGGAAACCGGGGCUAAUAGCAGAUGAUGCAGCGGCUCGACAUCGAGACAGUUGUUAAAGCUAUGGCGCCUGAAGAUGAGCCUGCGUCUGAUUAGCUAGUUGGCGGGGUAACGGCCCACCAAGGCAACGAUCAGUAGCUGGUCUGAGAGGAUGAUCAGCCACACUGGAACUGAGACACGGUCCAGACUCCUACGGGAGGCAGCAGUAAUGAAUAUUGCUCAAUGGGAGAAAUCCUGAAGCAGCAACGCCGCGUGAGGGACGAAGGGCUUUUGCUUGUAAACCUCUGUAGUGAGAGAAAAAAAUCCCAAUCUUUGGGACAUGAUGGUAUCUCAAAAGUAAGCCCCGGCUAACUACGUG